Molecule: ribosomal RNA, 694 nt
Filed under: Triticum aestivum (bread wheat)
Lineage: Eukaryota; Viridiplantae; Streptophyta; Magnoliopsida; Poales; Poaceae
Description: partial small subunit ribosomal RNA
Source: RNAcentral
CCCCUCCCCCCUCGCGCCUCGCUCUCGCUUUGUUCGUUGACCGAGAUGUAGCUGCCAUGGCCAUUGUCGUCGUCGCGGCCAUCGGCCUCCCGUCUCCUGAGAGCAUGCCCUGGAGCUUCAGCGCCUCCGACUCCACCGACUACGUGCAUCGGUUCGAGCUCGGACGCCCUGCUGCCUCGCCAUCGCGUCGUCUUCUCCGCCACCGCCGCCGCAUCUCGUCGUCGAGCUCGUCGCGUCCGGCCACCCCCGCGCUCCCCGACCUCGCCAUCGGACUUGCACACCGAGACCGACGCGACUGCUACCCAGUACGACUAUGGUGUUGACGACCCUUCUCUCUUGCCAGAGCAACCAGACGUUGGAGCCCAGGAGCCAGACGCCACCGUUGACGACGACUACUACUACUCGGGAGGUGCCUACUACUACGUGCAGCCCGUUGGCGACGACCAGGAGUAGUUUAGGAGGAUCCCAGGCAGGUGGUCUGCGCCUCUUUCGAUCUGUAUCCCAGUUUGUGCUAGCCUUCUUAAGGCAAACUUGUUUAACUUAUGUCUGUACUCAGAUAUUGUUGCUUCCGCUGACUCGUCUAUGAUCGAGCUCUUGUAUUCGAGCCCUCGAGGCCCCUUGGCUUGUAAAAUGAUGGUUGUAUGACUUAUUUUAUUUGUAGAGUUGUGUUGUGAUAUCUUCCCGUGAGUCCCUG